Molecule: long non-coding RNA, 375 nt
Filed under: Selaginella moellendorffii
Lineage: Eukaryota; Viridiplantae; Streptophyta; Lycopodiopsida; Selaginellales; Selaginellaceae
Description: long non-coding RNA (SMOE_LNC000294)
Source: RNAcentral
UCCUGCAUGUCUACCUUGCCGGUGCCAUUAUCGGCUCCGGGUAUGAUCCAGUUGAAUGCGUGCAACAAGCUUCCAACGGCCAGCAUGACAUUGGUAUGACCCAGCUGCAUCCCCGGGCACAUUCUGCGUCCUGCACCAAAUGGUAUCAGCUCAAAGUCCUGCCCUCGGGCAUCGAUGCCGACUUUCUCCUCCAGGAACCUCUCCGGCUUGAAUCGGUGCGCCUCCUUCCACAGCGUCUCAUCUCUUCCAAUUGCAUAUGCAUUUAUGAAGACUCGCGUUCUUGCAGGAACACCCCAUUUGGCGCUGAUCAUGCAGGCUUGGGCAGAGUUCUCGCGGGGAUAAAUUGGGACUGGCGGGUGUAGCCUAAGUGUUUCG